Molecule: long non-coding RNA, 1485 nt
Organism: Nerophis ophidion (straightnose pipefish)
Lineage: Eukaryota; Metazoa; Chordata; Actinopteri; Syngnathiformes; Syngnathidae
Exons: 2
Source: RefSeq, a predicted model, not a curated record
UGCAUGUUCUCCCCGUGAAUGCGUGGGUUCCCUCCGGGUACUCCGGCUUCCUCCCACUUCCAAAGACAUGCACCUGGGGAUAGGUUGAUUGGCAACACUAAAUUGGCCCUAGUGUGUGAAUGUGUGUGUGAAUGUUGUCUGUCUAUCUGUGUUGGCCCUGCGAUGAGGUGGCGACUUGUCCAGGGUGUACCCUGCCUUCCGCCCGAUUGUAGCUGAGAUAGGGGCCAGCGCCCCCCGCGACCCCAAAAGGGAAUAAGCGGUAGAAAAUGGAUGGAUGGAUGGAUGGAUGUACGGAAUAUGUACUGAACUGUGCAAUCUACUAAUAAAAGUAUCAAUCAGGUUGCUAGUUAAAACCCUGGCUGAGUCAUACCAAAGACAUAAAAACGGACCCAUUACAUCCCACCACUCAGCAUCAAGGGUUGGAAUUAGGCGUUAAAUCAUCAAAAAUGAUUCCUGGGCACGGCCAACGCUGCUGCCCACUGCUCCCCUCACCUCCCAGGGGGUGAUCAAGGGUGAUGGGUCCAAAUGCAGAGAAUAAUUUUGCCACACAUUCUUACUUUAACUUUCUGUUAAAAGUUUGUGUUAAUAAAUAUAUGCACUGGGAUAUAUUUCUAAUGAGCAUCGGCGAGGCUUAUUUGUUUCGGUAGCCAAUGACUGCAGUUAAUAGUCUGACGCCGCACACCAAUCAAAGCUUUGAAAACGAAUAAAAAGGCGUGUGAUUGGUUGUUUUUGCGAGGCGCCAAAAUAAACCGGAAGUUAUGGCCUGGCCUGCGGCAUUUUCGGGUUCCUUUUUUUUCUUAAUUUGACAAAUUAAUAAAAAAAAAAAAUAAUUUUGUAUUGUUGAAAAGAUUUAAGCACGACCUGUUCACACACGAGCAUAAAAAAAAAAACACUUGUUAUUUUUUCGUUUUUUUUUUGUCAGCAAAUGACUGCAAUUAACAUAGCAAUGCGAAACACCAAUCAGAGCUUUGAAGAUAAAAAAGAAGGCGUGUGAUUGGUUGUUCGUGUGAAGCGCCAACAUAAACAGGAAGUGACGGCCUGGACGGUGGUAUCCGGGUUCACUUUUCUUUUUUAAAAUGGACGAAUAGAUGAAAAAGAGCACUUUCCAUCGAGUAUUAUUGAACAACUUUUAAGGACAACACUUAAUGUCUGAGGGGUGGCCUCAGCCACAUGAUGAUAUCAUUGUUUUGGCUCGCUGGCCGCCAAGAACUUCAGGGACCUCGGCAUGGAUGGGAUGACAGCACGCAGACGAGACAGAGAUUUCAAGGAUCUCAACAACAAGGCAACAUCACAUUCCGUCACGUACUAUGCGUCCUGGACCUGCUUUGCAUAAUAUAUAUGACCACUCCUUUUAGAGGCAGCCUCAGUGGUGUUGACUAUGGAACUCUGAAUAAAAAGAGGAAUGCGGGAACUGGACCUUAGAGUGUAGGGCGAGACUGUGACUAAGUGUGCAGUGCCCGCGUUCUCCUCAUGAGCCAUAUUUAA